Molecule: long non-coding RNA, 579 nt
Filed under: Canis lupus familiaris (dog)
Lineage: Eukaryota; Metazoa; Chordata; Mammalia; Carnivora; Canidae
Description: lncRNA (ENSCAFG00845020254.1)
Source: RNAcentral
CGGGAACUUUGACUCUGGGGUUUGAAGUUUGAUACCAACUUCUUGUCCUUCUCGAAGAGGAUCUUGAAAGGAGUAAGAAUUUUUCAAGGAAGAACAGUGUUUGACUCCCAUCCACAGUUUGCAGAUUGGUCGAGAGAGACCAGAAGUGGACCCUUACUCAAUGUGAAGUCACUAGAUCAUUGGCUAAUACUCUAUCCUACGAGAAAUUAUGGAGCGGCUUCAUCCUUAGUACAGAGUCUACGGAAAGUCACACCCACCAUGGGCAUAGCUAUGAGAGAGGCAAAAAUGCUUGAAGUAAGUGAUACAGUCCAGUCCUAUACAACUGUCUUAGAAAAUCAUGUUUCCUCCAAAACACAGAUGGUCCUUUGCGUGCUGUCCAGUGAAAAGAAAGACCUGUAUGAUGGCAUAAAAACAAUACCUGUGUGUCAAUUGUCCGACCCCAAGCCAGUGUGUCGUGGCACGGACCUUAGACAAACCCCAGACGCUGAUGACCAUUGCGACAAAGAUUGCCCAGCAGAUGAACUGCAAGAUGGGAGGAGCCCUCCGGAAGGUGGAGACAGGAGUACGUUGGAUUUCAUU